GACGAACCGUGCGAACGUUGUUCGGAAUCACUGGGCUUAAAGGGCGCGUAGGCGGGCUGUCAAGUCUGGGGUGAAAUGCCGCGGCUCAACCGUGGAACUGCCUCAGAUACUGACGGCCUCGAGGAAGGUAGGGGCAUGCGGAACAUUGGGUGGAGCGGUGAAAUGCGUUGAUAUCCAAUGGAACUCCGGUGGCGAAAGCGGCGUGCUGGACCUUUUCUGACGCUGAGGCGCGAAAGCUAGGGGAGCAAACGGG
RNAcentral lists this ribosomal RNA (253 nucleotides) under uncultured bacterium. Its description in RNAcentral is "partial 16S ribosomal RNA". It matches the Rfam family "Bacterial small subunit ribosomal RNA", at positions 524 to 776 of the family's 1533-position model. The record is from RNAcentral. RNAcentral also lists the same sequence under 1 other name.